GCGCCUGGCCCGGCGACUGCGGGCGCUGCGGUCCACUGGGUCCGCCUCUUCCCGGCAUGGGUUUCUGCCCAGCUCACCCGCUGUCAGCUGGGGUCCUGCUCUGGUGGGAGGAAGAGGCUCAGACGCUUCCCUGCCCUCUCGCCUCAACCACCUCGAGGCAGCGGCUCCCAGGAUGUGCACUUUGACGACUAAAGCUGAGCCGGCGCCGCCACGACCUUGGGCGGGUGGUCGGCCUCUGCCCUGAGCAGGAAGUAGAAAGUCUCAGCAGACCCUUCCUGAGGGCCGAGCAACAGUGUAGUGGCGUAUUCCACAUAGCAAACAGGUGAAUUCCUUGGAAGAUGAGGGCCAAGUCUUAUUCUUCUCAGUCUCUUCUGCAUCUAGCAGAAGAAUAAUGGUUGCACAGAAAAUCUUGGUUCAGUGGUUGAGUGAAUGAAUGGAUGAACAGGCUCUUGCACACAAAGAAGAGACAUGAUGUAUUUGCAUCCUUCCCUGCUUCAGCCAGUUUUCUGAAGCUCAGAGGGACACCUUGUAUUGCUGGAUGAUAAAAACAGGAGCAAAGUGAUGAAGUGCUGACAAGGCAACAAUAGAACAUGAGAGAUUCACUGCUGUGUAGGAAGAGAUCUUCGGUGACCAUGUAGCCUGAAGCUCUCAUUUUGUCAUCGAGGGACACCAAAACUCAGAACAGAUAGAGUCUUGCUCUGUGACCCAGGCUUGUGUGCAGCGGUACGAUAUUGGCUCACUGCGACCUCCACCUCCCAGGUUCAAGCAAUUCUCCUGCCUCAGCCUCCCAAGUAGCUGGGAUUACAGAUGAGGUCUCCAAGGGACCAGAUGGAGAACAGAUGCAACCACACUGAAGUCAGAAUCGCAGCUUGCCUCCGACACCUGACGCUUCACUGUUGGCGAGGCCCACUAUGCCUCGCUCUCCCCCUGUAAUGAGUUCUAUCCCAGAGGCUCCUAUACCCUUUAGAAAUAAACUGCUCAGGCAGCCCAACCAGUUCAUCCAAGAGGCCUGGAACCACAGCAGCGUCGACAGCUGAGAUGAGAGUUGGUCCCUGAUCUGAUACAGAGCCUGGGUUUAGCUUUGAUUUCUCUCUUCCUAGGCAAGAUCUUUAGAGAAUAACUUUUUGUGCCUGGCCAUCUCCUGCUCUUUUCUCAACCCAAAAGGGCUAUGUUCACCUAAAGAGGAAAAGCAAGAAGGCUUCCUGGGCUCGGGAGGUCAGGGCUGGAAAGAACUGCUCACCAUUUCUGAGCCGAUGAGGACUCACCUGGGCUCCUCACUGGUCAGGGAACUGUGGCCCAGCCGCAGAGUGAUUGCUUUGUCAAGAAGGGAAACAUUUACCUUUCCUUCUUCCCUCUGCUCUCUCCUAAUUAACAAUUAAAUGGAAGGAGUUGAAAAGACAUGUCAGAGACUUCAAUCUCCUCCCGGCCUGAGGAUGAAGGGGGCUCGAACCUGAAUGUUCUCUUCGCUGUGGCCAGAACCUAGGGGGCUGGGGUUGCUGCCAGCUCGACUGGAGGCCUGCUUCCAGCCCCAGGCUGUGGUGAGGGGCCUCACAGAUUUCACAAACAGGAGGGCGGCUGACCAAGCGCCAAACUAUUUAGACAAACACACACCCUCCCUUCCCGCCAGAGUUUGGGCUGAUUUCUCCCAAUGCUAAUGAACAGCUCAUAAGUAUUAAUAGACUCCUUGGCACCUAGGAGUCAGGCAGAGUAACUUCCAGUGUGAAUUUUGGCCAAGGACCCUGAUGCAGCCUCAGGAUCUUCCAAGCCCCUGUUGAGUCCAGGGGGCAUGAGACACACAGGGAGGCUGGGGCUGCUCCCAGGAAGCAGGCUCACAAGAGCCAGACAGGCUCCCACAGACAGCUUUUAGGUCACAGAAACCUCUGCCUGCCAGGUAGGCAUGAACACAGAAACCCUCCCAAAUCCUCAGACUGUGGAGCACACUCCAGGUGAGCCAGGAUCAAUCCCUGGUCUCAGAGAACACUUAGAUGGGGGUGAAAAGCAGGAACUGAGAGCUUCCCACCCAGCACCUGUCCCUGCUACCAGCUAAACCUGUGUCGGUCAGUGCAGGAAUUGUACAGGUGAUGCUCUGAGCCUGUGCUGAGGCCAUGUAUGGACUGAGGAAACCUCACUGUGUGUAUGUAAAGUUAAUUCAAACCUAUUUCCCUGAGUGCUUACAUAUUUUCAUAAGGAAAGUUCUGUUAGGAGAGCUGCCUGAAACAACACCUCUGCCUGUGCUCCCACUUUCUCCCGCUGGUGUGGGGAGGAGAGGCUGACAUCGCUGGGUCCACGUUCCUCUGCCCUGGGUGGGGUAUUAAUGCUGCCAUUCCCACGCUGCCUGCUGUUUCCCCUCAUCCUCAGGAGGGCUGGUCUCUGUGCUGCAGGCAGCUCCACCAGGCCUGGGAGCAUGACACCGUCUGCCAAUGCCUUGCCCAGGUCCACUGGCCUCACCCUUCCGCAGGCCUGCGCCUUCUGUGACUCUCUGCCUCAGCAAUUUCUCUGGAUUUCUUUGUCCUCAGGAAUGUGCUGGGGCCACAGGCAGGUCAGGCCAGGCUUUCUGGGGAGUGAAUGCUCUCUGCCAGUGGCGGAUGGAACUGGUAGACACGUCCCCCGGAUUCCUCGCCUGCAAGUGGGAUGGUGCCAGGAAAGUUCUACACCAUCCUUCCCAGGUCCCAGGAGGACAAGCACAGUUGUCCACAAGUGUGGAUCAGUGUUAAAAGUGCUUCAUGGAGAAAUGGAGGCCUGAAAGCGACUCUGAAGGAGGAGUGGGGCUCAGCAAACAGCAGACGAGUUUCAAUCCAAGCACCCAUUACCCCCCUAACACACGGCAUACGUGCAUCUCAUCUCCUCCUGUGUCGCUAAGAAGCUACCCAUAUGUCUGUCAUUAAUUCUCCAGAAUCCUUGGACACACCCCUCUGCAGAGCUUUCUAACAGGAAAUACAAGUCUCAGAUUUUUUUUUAAGUUAAAAUUGAGUGCAGCACUCAUACCUUUCUUCGAGCAUGAACCGUCAAUCAACACUGCCUCAUGAGCUACUGCUCUCCUGCUCUUUGAAAAGACAAAUCCUUAUUUCUUUGUAGUGAUCCAGAAGGCAGUGGGAAGAAUGACAGGUGCUUGGUUAUCUUCAAUUUAAUCUCUACCUUUCAAUGGGGCUAGUGCAAGCUAGGGCCAUUUUACUGCACCCAAAGGAAUUUAAGACAUUUCUAUUAUCUCUAAAGAAUCCAGAUUAACAUGCCUUCUUGGUGGGCAGGGAGACCAGCUAUGAAUUCUAGGAUCUCAAUUCAAAUGCUUUUGAAUUCUUCCUGCUUGUUCAGUUAAUUACAUAUAUGUCACCACAAUCUUGCUUUUUUUUUUCUAUGCUUCUAAUUUUCUCUGAAACUAUAACAUUAUUUUAGGGGUUAAUAAAUUUGUAAUUGGAAAAAAUGUUUUUACUUCUUUAGGCUCAUCUUUCCUCCCUUCCUUCUUCCCCUCCCCAACAAAACCUUUAUUUUCUCAAGUGUCCAUUCUUUCUGUAGGAAAAACCAUCAUCAUAAUUACAAUAUGUUAAGUGACUACUAUAUGCCAGGAAUUAGCUCAAUUCUUCACUUAUUUUAUUUUACAUAAUCCUUUCCAAAACCCCCUGUCAUAAGUAAUAUUAUUAUUCCUACUAUAUAGCUGAGACUCCUGAGGAUAAGAGAGGUCAAGUAAUUUGUCCACUGCAUUAGGUGGGUAGAGCUAGGACUUUAAUCCAGAACACCAAUGACUGUUCUCUUCUUCACCAUUACACUACUUUUUUCAAAUUUCUAGAGACCUUCAUGAAUUCUUUGCAUUUUGUUUUUUGGUAGUAUAAAUAUUGAUAUUCCCAAAGGCCAAGUAACUGCUCUUAAUAAACAAUUGCAGCCAAGCGUGGUAGCUCAUGCCUGUAAUCCCAGUACUUUGGGAGGCUGAGGCGGGUGGAUCACAAGGUCAGGAGUUCGAGACCAGCCUGGCCAAUAUGGUGAAAGCCCGUCUCUACCAAAAAAUACAAAAAUUAGCCAGGUGUGGUGGUGCACACCUGUAGUCCCAGGUACUCGGAAGGCUGAGGCAGGAGAAUUGCUGGAACCUGGGAGGCGGAGGUUGCAAUGAGCCAAGAGGAUGCCACUGCUGUCCAGCCUGGGCGACAGAGUGAGACUCCGUCUCAAAUUAAUUAAUUAAUUAAUUAAUUAAUUAAAAAAUAAAAAUAAACAAUGACUUCCAUGGAAGCAGUUAUAAGCUGCCUUGAAGCAACUGCCCACAGUGGUUUUCUGACCUAGGUGAACUUGAAAAUGGAAUGAUCAGCUAUUGGCUGCACGGUUUUGUUCUUUUCAGAAACAAGGGAAAGGACAAUGUGACUUUGCAAAUAUUUAGGGUACUACAACUUAAUAUUCUUAGCAUAGCAGAACAGUGCUGGGAAUCCCUGGGUCUUCUACUGAAAUCCCCCUAAAAAUUCCUUAAAAUAUUUUCCCUCAAAAAAAAUAAAACUCAGCUCUGAAAGUUUACAUGUGUUGACUGCCCCAGACAACAGGAAGUGAAACGACUUAGUUGGAAGGAGGCAGGGUCAGGGUGGAGGUGCUGCUGAGUGUGGGAAGUCUGGAGUGCGGAGAAGGCGCCCAGAGAGACUUCCUGGUGAGCUCUUCAGAGGAAGGAGCAAGUGCAAAGGCGAUUGCAGAAGCCAAGGGAUCAUCUUUUCCUCAACAUGCACAGCCAGAAGAAGAAUCUCAGAAGCUGCAUGUGCUCUAAAGAAGAACUGCUGCUCUCUGGGUCUCUUGGGCUCCACACUGCUUCCUAAGUUUCUGAACUUCUGGAACUUUUCCUUCUCAGUGAAUAACUCAAAGCCUUAAUUCUAAUGCAGCAGGUUUAAAGCACUUGCAUGUGAUUUGAUAGGAAAGUCUGGGGUGGAUAGUGGUCAUGAACAACAAUAUCCCAAAGUAUUUGUUAUUUCUGCCUGGCAAUUAUAAAGGAUGAAAGUAGCAUGGUCAUGGCAGAAAUAGAUGGUGGGUUAAGGUUAGAUCAAGUUAGAUCUCAGGUGUUGGCAGUUUCCUAAGCCUUUGAGGUUCCCAUAGCUAACAUCUUCAGAACCAAAGGGGCAAUCUUCUACUGGUUACUGACUAAGAAGAGAAAGCGGAAUCUCUUAGAGGGUAUUUGGUAAUGUAGGGUUAACCAUGGUGUCACGGUUAUCGCAAUGAUUGGGGAGUGUUGCAAACAUCUAGUGAAGAGGGCAGGGAUAUUAAAUGUCCCACAGUGAUGGAACACUUCUGUGCUGUGAAGAACCACUCCAUCUCAAACGUCAGCAGCACCCCUGGGCAGGUCCCUGCCCUCAGUGGUGCUUGACUCUGGACUAGGUCCAGAGAUGUGCACAGCCAAUCUGAGCUUUAUUUUCAGGAGACUUUGCUGAAAAAGGACUGAUGACGUCACCAGCAUCAUCCUCAACAAGUGUCUGUGACAGCCUGUGACGUGGAAGGCAGGGUGCUGCCUAAUGAAAGGCCGCGAAAUGCUUUGAGAAUCAAAUAGACUCUAAUACAACUCCCAGUCUGUUACAAUAUCCAGGAUGCUUGCACUUAACUUAGAAAUGUAAUGUAUCCUCUUGCCUCUUUUUUCUCUCUUAUUCUAUGUAAACAAGGGUUUGCUCUAUGAAGCCAGAAAAAACAAAAUUCUUACAUACAAGUUUCCAUUAGCAGUUCUAUAUCAGUAUCUAUCUUCUCAUACGAUAUGCUUUCAAGACUACAGACUUCUCAAAAUAAUCAAAAGACUGUAGUGUACACUAAAGGUUGACAAGGCUCUGAUCUAAAAUAAUAUUUUGGUCUUGUCAUUUGGAGGGCGUUUUGUGAUGUUUUGACCCUAAAUUUCACAUAUACUAAAGUACACAGAAAAAAUAUUUAAUUCUUAGACAUUCUGAAAUUAUUUUAAAAACUCAAACUAUUUAUUAUGGUCAAACAUGCCAACGGUAACUUGCCCUAAACACAU
Molecule: long non-coding RNA, 5956 nt
Organism: Homo sapiens (human)
Lineage: Eukaryota; Metazoa; Chordata; Mammalia; Primates; Hominidae
Gene: SLC44A3-AS1
Product: SLC44A3 antisense RNA 1
Source: Ensembl